AUUGAACGCUGGCGGCAGGCCUAACACAUGCAAGUCGAGCGGAGCGGCGGACGGGGGAGUAAUGCAUAGGAAUGGACCUGGUAGUGGGGGAGAACGUCCGAAAACGGGCGCUAAUACCGAAUACUAGCAGACGAGCGUAGGGCGGAUGAGCUAGUUGGUGGGGUAAAGGCCUACCAAGGCGACGAUCCGUAACUGGUCUGAGAGGAUGAUCAGUCACACUGGAACUGAGACACGGUCCAGACUCCUACGGGAGGCAGCAGUGGGGAAUAUUGGACAAUGGGCGAAAGCCUGAUCCAGCCAUGCCGCGUGUGUGAAGAAGGCCUUCGGAUUGUAAAGCACUUUCAGUUGGGAGGCGUUACCAACAGAAUAAGCACCGGCUAACUUCGUGCCAGCAGCCGCGGUAAUAC
RNAcentral lists this ribosomal RNA (407 nucleotides) under uncultured bacterium. RNAcentral describes it as "partial 16S ribosomal RNA". It matches the Rfam family "Bacterial small subunit ribosomal RNA", at positions 29 to 526 of the family's 1533-position model. The record is from RNAcentral.